Molecule: ribosomal RNA, 405 nt
Filed under: bacterium
Lineage: Bacteria
Description: partial 16S ribosomal RNA
Rfam family: Bacterial small subunit ribosomal RNA
Source: RNAcentral
UAAGGAAUAUUGCGCAACGGGGGAAACCCUGACGCAGCAACGCCGCGUGGAGGAUGACACUUUUCGGAGCGUAAACUCCUUUUAUCAGGAAAGAAUAAUGACGGUACCUGAUGAAUAAGCACCGGCUAACUCCGUGCCAGCAGCCGCGGUAAUACGGGGGGUGCAAGCGUUACUCGGAAUCACUGGGCGUAAAGGACGCGUAGGCGGAUUAUCAAGUCUUUUGUGAAAUCUAGUGGCUUAACCACUAAACUGCUUAGGAAACUGAUAGUCUAGAGUAGGGGAGAGGUAGAUGGAAUUCUUGGUGUAGGGGUAAAAUCCGUAGAGAUCAAGAAGAAUACCCAUUGCGAAAGCGAUCUGCUGGAACCUAACUGACGCUGAGGCGUGAAAGCGUGGGUAGCAAACAGG